Molecule: long non-coding RNA, 212 nt
Organism: Lontra canadensis (Northern American river otter)
Lineage: Eukaryota; Metazoa; Chordata; Mammalia; Carnivora; Mustelidae
Exons: 3
Source: RefSeq, a predicted model, not a curated record
GACUGUAGUGAUGACCACUUCCCUGUGUGUGCGGGAUGCUAACCAGUGCACCUGAUGUCCUCCCCAGGAGGAUCCCAGUGGGGCAGAUUUGUGCAUCCAUCAACAAUCAAUUUUAAGGAAUUUUUUUUUUUUUAAUCACCCUGGAAAAAACCCUUCUACUCUGUGCUGAGAGAAUGCCCAGAGUUAUUUGGACCGUUAUAGUAUAAGAACGC